GAUCAGAAAGCAGCCGCUCGAGACGUGCGCGUUAUGUUUGUUGUUUGCCCAUGCUUUCUAAGUAUCUAAGUGUGCAAGUAUCAUAACUUGUAGUGGUACCACUCUUGUAGAAAAAUAUAUGCACACAAUCACAGGAACGUUACCUUUGCAAACAUAUUAUUGGGAGUAAUUUAAUCCCCACAACAAAUAGGCGAACAUACUGUUUCAUUUAUUUGCGAUGCAGUUGGAAGCGGCGCCAAACAGACCAAUGGCAAUCACAACAGUCUUCUCAGCAGUCAGCACCACCGGGACAUGUGCUUUCGUACUGCAGCGACACAGCUCUUGAGCAGCAACAAGACACGUGUGAAACAGACUCCAGAACAUGCCUUUGUGAAGUGACGGAACCGUCAAGAAGCAGCCCAAUGGAUCUGCAGUCAUCGAGUAGUAUGACAACAGAAGUUCCUGCUGCCAGUGUGACUUAUGUCGUAAUUGAAAUAAAAGUGGCUAAAUUUCUGAACAUGGUGCGUACCUCUAACUCGACGUCGUCUACGAUCUUGUCGGACACCUGUGACACGCACUUGGCUUUCACUCUCACAUCACCGUCCACAAUUUGUUCGACGCCGUACACGUUCAGAAGCAGACGCUCCCCUAUCGUGAGGUUGCCGCCACGAAAAAAAAAAGCUGUCGGCGUCGGCAACCUUCUUGAAACCGCACGGCAAUCCUUGCAUCGCUGUUGCGCAAGCAUGCGAUCUGCCGUCGUCGAAAACGGAGCGCCGUGAGAACGAGCAGCGAAGAAAAGCGCGGACGGCACAAUGCAAACAAAGCGGAGACUACGGCACGACGCGACCGCGCUGCUUGGCGUUUCCACAUUGAGGCGCUGUCAGGAGGCGCAGUAGCGCCGCGUGGCCAUGGUUUUCUCGUCUAUUGCGCGAGCACAGCGUGAUUCGGUGACACGCCCGCCCACUGCUUUAGUGCUAGUUUAAGACAUUUAUUCUGUUGGUCGCGCUGCCGAUCUCGCGACUCGUCGGCCUCCGUGAAGAGUGGAAUUUCCAUCGCAUUGCGCUUCUAAAAGCGCACGUUAAUGUUUUCGGCUCGUCGUCAAGACCCCAAGGGCUUGUGUUUUGCACAGCGAAAAUGAACGGCGUCGGUCAACGAAGAACAUCACCGGAUUCACGUCGACAGAAGACCAACCUUGGCGACGACGGACUUCUUCCGGUGCCCGGUGAAUAUACGCUUGACCUAUGUGAACUGGCUAGCUGGUUACAGGAUAAAAAUGGGAAAGCGCCGACCCAGCGGGGCUCAUCAAAGGAAAACCAAAAGGGAGCGAGCCAGGACUCUUCAAUCCAUGGUUGGGUCAGUUCACAAAUAUGUGAGGACCUCGUUGCGUCUGCCCACAAAUGACGCCGCAGAGGUUAGUGCGAGAAUAUGCGCAUGCAAAGAAGGGGAGCGGCAAAACGAAGACUGCUUGCAACCCAGUACAUCUAUGCCUCCUGACGCGCACGAGCUGUUUGUGGACAGACUGGUUGAUUCGUUGGAAUGAGAUGGAUGCAGAUGUGCAGGAACACAGCAGCUAGACAACGCAUCCCAAAAUUUCGAAGCCAGUAUAUUUGUGCACACUGGGGUGGACCCAGUACAUCAGUCCGAUGCUUCUCAAACCCGCAUUCUCGAUGACAGCCAAGUGGUGGAGAUGGUCAGAGAAGAGCCACAAUACGUGCAGCCCAGCUCAGUACAAGAAGGCGAGGACCCUGUGACGUCAUCUAAAGGCACUAAAGCUCAAGCAUUAUCGAACUACAGAACGACGACAGACGAGAACACGGACCGCACAACAGUUCCCGGAAUUUAUUGCCAAAUGGAACUUCUUUGAGUCCCUCCCUAAUCUUACCGUUAUCUUUCGCUUGUUCCUCACGAUCUGCGUGUCAGUUGCACCAUGUGAAAGGAAUUUUUCCAAGUUAAAGCUGAUCAAAACGUCCCUGCGUUCACCAUGAGUGAUGAAAGGCUGUCAAAUUUGGCGAUACGGACCAUAGAGAAAGAACACGUGAAAAAUAUAAACUUUACUACUGUAAUUAAUAAGUUUGCAGAAGCGAAGUGUCGGAAAAAGAACUUCUGAAGGAAAUGUGUCCUUAACGGUGAUUACGUUAGUGCAAAAGGCUCGAUGUCCCACCGUGGUUUGUACAUCGGCAAUAUGUAAGCAAUGUUUUAUUUGUUGAAUCGUUGUAUUAGUUUUUUAUCAGUUGCGCAGUGUCGAAUAAAAGAUCUUCCUCCUA
Molecule: non-coding RNA, 2243 nt
Organism: Dermacentor albipictus
Lineage: Eukaryota; Metazoa; Arthropoda; Arachnida; Ixodida; Ixodidae
Source: RefSeq, a predicted model, not a curated record